Haliotis rubra (blacklip abalone) is the source of this 125-nucleotide long non-coding RNA. RefSeq lists it as uncharacterized. Lineage: Eukaryota; Metazoa; Mollusca; Gastropoda; Lepetellida; Haliotidae. The record is from RefSeq and is a predicted model, not a curated record. The transcript is spliced from 3 exons.
CUCGAAACGUUCGUAGCCUUAAGAAUUCUUAACUUUGAUCGUAGCCAAUGUCUUAAGAAUGGGCUUAAGAAGUUCGUUGGGGUACGAUCGUUUCGAGAACAGCUAGCCUGUUUCCUACAUUGUUU